Long non-coding RNA from Octopus sinensis (East Asian common octopus), 157 nucleotides. RefSeq lists it as uncharacterized. The record is from RefSeq and is a predicted model, not a curated record. The transcript has 3 exons. NCBI's taxonomy places the organism in Eukaryota, Metazoa, Mollusca, Cephalopoda, Octopoda, Octopodidae.
AGUGACUAACUCGUUGUAAUCAUGACUAACUGAUUUUUUGCUUGGGGUUCUUGCUUUUAUAGCUAUCCAGAAGAAUAGACAUAUCGUUGAAAACAAUAGUUUUCGCAGGUGGUCUGUGAUAUCUCUAUUCUAGCUUUUGUUGAAGUAGAAGAGGUUA